GCUGUAGCUCAGUGGUAGAGAGCUUGCCUAGCAUGUAUGAGGCACUGGGUUCAAUCCUCAGCACA
This 65-nucleotide transfer RNA is filed under the name Marmota monax (woodchuck). RNAcentral's name for it is "tRNA.Ala". It matches the Rfam family "tRNA", at positions 6 to 65 of the family's 71-position model. From Rfam's summary of the family: Transfer RNA (tRNA) molecules are approximately 80 nucleotides in length. Their secondary structure includes four short double-helical elements and three loops (D, anti-codon, and T loops). Lineage: Eukaryota; Metazoa; Chordata; Mammalia; Rodentia; Sciuridae. The record is from RNAcentral.